UCGAGGGUGAGCUGUUCGACGGUGAACGGCGUUCCGUCGAGCGGAACGUCGGCGCGGACGAUGAGCGUGGACUGCCGUUCGACGUGGCUCUCCUCGAU
Molecule: transfer RNA, 98 nt
Filed under: Phytohabitans rumicis
Lineage: Bacteria; Bacillati; Actinomycetota; Actinomycetes; Micromonosporales; Micromonosporaceae
Description: tRNA-Ser
Source: RNAcentral